This 276-nucleotide ribosomal RNA is filed under the name Limosilactobacillus fermentum. RNAcentral's name for it is "Lactobacillus fermentum partial 16S ribosomal RNA". It matches the Rfam family "Bacterial small subunit ribosomal RNA", at positions 1267 to 1533 of the family's 1533-position model. The record is from RNAcentral. Lineage: Bacteria; Bacillati; Bacillota; Bacilli; Lactobacillales; Lactobacillaceae.
GCAAAUCUCUUAAAACCGUUCUCAGUUCGGACUGCAGGCUGCAACUCGCCUGCACGAAGUCGGAAUCGCUAGUAAUCGCGGAUCAGCAUGCCGCGGUGAAUACGUUCCCGGGCCUUGUACACACCGCCCGUCACACCAUGAGAGUUUGUAACACCCAAAGUCGGUGGGGUAACCUUUUAGGAGCCAGCCGCCUAAGGUGGGACAGAUGAUUAGGGUGAAGUCGUAACAAGGUAGCCGUAGGAGAACCUGCGGCUGGAUCACCUCCUUUCUAAGGAA